GACGAACGCUGGCGGCGUGCUUAACACAUGCAAGUCGAACGGAAAGGCCCUGCUUUUGUGGGGUGCUCGAGUGGCGAACGGGUGAGUAACACGUGAGUAACCUGCCCUUGACUUUGGGAUAACUUCAGGAAACUGGGGCUAAUACCGGAUAGGAGCUCCUGCUGCAUGGUGGGGGUUGGAAAGUUUCGGCGGUUGGGGAUGGACUCGCGGCUUAUCAGCUUGUUGGUGGGGUAGUGGCUUACCAAGGCUUUGACGGGUAGCCGGCCUGAGAGGGUGACCGGCCACAUUGGGACUGAGAUACGGCCCAGACUCCUACGGGAGGCAGCAGUGGGGAAUAUUGCACAAUGGGCGGAAGCCUGAUGCAGCAACGCCGCGUGCGGGAUGACGGCCUUCGGGUUGUAAACCGCUUUCGCCUGUGACGAAGCGUGAGUGACGGUAAUGGGUAAAGAAGCACCGGCUAACUACGUGCCAGCAGCCGCGGUGAUACGUAGGGUGCGAGCGUUGUCCGGAUUUAUUGGGCGUAAAGGGCUCGUAGGUGGUUGAUCGCGUCGGAAGUGUAAUCUUGGGGCUUAACCCUGAGCGUGCUUUCGAUACGGGUUGACUUGAGGAAGGUAGGGGAGAAUGGAAUUCCUGGUGGAGCGGUGGAAUGCGCAGAUAUCAGGAGGAACACCAGUGGCGAAGGCGGUUCUCUGGGCCUUUCCUGACGCUGAGGAGCGAAAGCGUGGGGAGCGAACAGGCUUAGAUACCCUGGUAGUCCACGCUGUAAACGGUGGGUACUAGGUGUGGGGUCCAUUCCACGGGUUCCGUGCCGUAGCUAACGCUUUAAGUACCCCGCCUGGGGAGUACGGCCGCAAGGCUAAAACUCAAAGGAAUUGACGGGGCCCCGCACAAGCGGCGGAGCAUGCGGAUUAAUUCGAUGCAACGCGUAGAACCUUACCUGGGUUUGACAUGGAUCGGGAGUGCUCAGAGAUGGGUGUGCCUCUUUUGGGGUCGGUUCACAGGUGGUGCAUGGCUGUCGUCAGCUCGUGUCGUGAGAUGUUGGGUUAAGUCCCGCAACGAGCGCAACCCUUGUUCACUGUUGCCAGCACGUUAUGGUGGGGACUCAGUGGAGACCGCCGGGGUCAACUCGGAGGAAGGUGGGGAUGACGUCAAGUCAUCAUGCCCCUUAUGUCCAGGGCUUCACGCAUGCUACAAUGGCUGGUACAGAGAGUGGCGAGCCUGUGAGGGUGAGCGAAUCUCGGAAAGCCGGUCUCAGUUCGGAUCGGGGUCUGCAACUCGACCUCAUGAAGUCGGAGUCGCUAGUAAUCGCAGAUCAGCAACGCUGCGGUGAAUAAGUUCCCGGGGCU
Molecule: ribosomal RNA, 1346 nt
Filed under: uncultured bacterium
Lineage: Bacteria
Description: partial 16S ribosomal RNA
Rfam family: Bacterial small subunit ribosomal RNA
Source: RNAcentral